This 289-nucleotide ribosomal RNA is filed under the name uncultured Stenotrophomonas sp. RNAcentral's name for it is "partial 16S ribosomal RNA". Lineage: Bacteria; Pseudomonadati; Pseudomonadota; Gammaproteobacteria; Lysobacterales; Lysobacteraceae. The record is from RNAcentral.
CUACAGGGGUAUCUAAUCCUGUUUGCUCCCCACGCUUUCGUGCCUCAGUGUCAAUGUUGGUCCAGGUAGCUGCCUUCGCCAUGGAUGUUCCUCCUGAUCUCUACGCAUUUCACUGCUACACCAGGAAUUCCGCUACCCUCUACCACAUUCUAGUCAUCCAGUAUCCACUGCAGUUCCCAGGUUGAGCCCAGGGCUUUCACAACGGACUUAAAUAACCACCUACGCACGCUUUACGCCCAGUAAUUCCGAGUAACGCUUGCACCCUUCGUAUUACCGCGGCUGCUGGCAC